RNAcentral lists this transfer RNA (73 nucleotides) under Caudoviricetes sp. RNAcentral's name for it is "tRNA-Asp". It matches the Rfam family "tRNA". From Rfam's summary of the family: Transfer RNA (tRNA) molecules are approximately 80 nucleotides in length. Their secondary structure includes four short double-helical elements and three loops (D, anti-codon, and T loops). The record is from RNAcentral. Lineage: Duplodnaviria; Heunggongvirae; Uroviricota; Caudoviricetes.
GCUCGGGUAACUCAGUGGAUAGAGUACGCUUCUGUCGAAGGCGAUGACGUGGGUUCGAAUCCCACCCCGGGUA